AAAAAAAAAAAAAAAAAAAAAGACAAAAAAAAAGUGCUAGAGAACCAGAUUUAAAGCAGAAGCAGUCCGGAAAUCACAUGCAAAACUGCUCCCAGGGAGAAACGCAAGCCCAGGCACAGAGCCCCGCUUGAUGGCAGGUGCUGGACAAUAACAAUGCUGGGAUCCCCGCCUCUGCUGCCACUUUCCUCACCAGCAUGGAUCCUGCCCUCUCCUUUGUGUCACUCACUAAAGGCUCAAAGUCUGGUUCAAGGUAGAAACAAUUUUACGUGUCUCAGAAAGAACAAAGAGUUUAAGAUGGUGAUGCUGAGAUUCUGGACAAGAUGGACAUGGUGAUCUCUACUGGAAUCCGGGGACUGCUGUACUACGGUCAUAUACUACUGCUGGGGGCCUGGUGUUCCCGGGGUGCACUGGGGGCCUUGCUGUACUGAUAUGGUCAUAUGCUACUGGGGGCCUGCUGUUGCUGAGGUACAUUGUCAGCAGGCCUAGGCAUCGAAAAUGACACAACUGUCUCCUGUUCAGAAGCACUUAGAAUCUCCUGCAUCGUGUAACAAGUGUUUAGAGAUCCCUAGAUCAGGGACUCUGGGGACAGUUUUUAAUUUACUGAUAAGUAAAGUUUUAAAAUGUGA
RNAcentral lists this long non-coding RNA (626 nucleotides) under Homo sapiens (human). RNAcentral describes it as "HSALNT0384604". Lineage: Eukaryota; Metazoa; Chordata; Mammalia; Primates; Hominidae. The record is from RNAcentral.